CCUUACCAGGUCUUGACAUCCCUUGACAACUCCAGAGAUGGAGCGUUCCCUUCGGGGACAAGGUGACAGGUGGUGCAUGGUUGUCGUCAGCUCGUGUCGUGAGAUGUUGGGUUAAGUCCCGNAACGAGCGCAACCCUUAUUACUAGUUGCCAGCAUUUAGUUGGGCACUCUAGUGAGACUGCCGGUGACAAACCGGAGGAAGGUGGGGAUGACGUCAAAUCAUCAUGCCCCUUAUGACCUGGGCUACACACGUGCUACAAUGGCGUAUACAACGAGUUGCCAACCCGCGAGGGUGAGCUAAUCUCUUAAAGUACGUCUCAGUUCGGAUUGUAGGCUGCAACUCGCCUACAUGAAGUCGGAAUCGCUAGUAAUCGCGGAUCAGCACGCCGCGGUGAAUACGUUCCCGGGUCUUGUACACACCGCCCGUCACACCAUGAGAGUUUGUAACACCCAAAGCCGGUGGGGUAACCUUUUAGGAGCCAGCCGUCUAAGGUGGGACAGAUGAUUAGGGUGAAGUCGUAACAAGGUAAGCGUAGAUGA
RNAcentral lists this ribosomal RNA (540 nucleotides) under uncultured bacterium. RNAcentral describes it as "bacterial SSU rRNA". It matches the Rfam family "Bacterial small subunit ribosomal RNA", at positions 969 to 1509 of the family's 1533-position model. The record is from RNAcentral.